UUUAGAUAUAUAUGCUUGUGUUUAGGAGGUGUGAGUAGUUCAUAUAGUUGCAUUUGCAUGAAUCAUGAUAGUUGUCUUCCAAGUUGAUUUCCUAUGAUGAGGUUAUGUGCAUAAUUUUUUGGCUAGUAGUUUUGAUCAUAUGUGAUGCCUUGUUUCUUGGAAACUGCUUGUGUAAAAAUUGUAAUUACACUUAUGCUCUAGAGAUAAGACUUAGACUAACUUAUUUUUUGAGUCUUCACGUUGAGUCGGGCGUAGAAUUAGGAUUAUUCCCCUUUUGAACGUAGAGUUUGUAAAUCUUAAGUUUGGGGGAGUUAAGGGAUGAAUAUGCC
Molecule: long non-coding RNA, 329 nt
Filed under: Daucus carota (carrot)
Lineage: Eukaryota; Viridiplantae; Streptophyta; Magnoliopsida; Apiales; Apiaceae
Description: long non-coding RNA (DCAR_LNC004098)
Source: RNAcentral